CACCGCGGUUAUACGAGAGGCCCAAGUUGAUAGAUGCCGGCGUAAAAUGUGGUUUAUAUACUAAUUUACUAAAGCUAAACACCUUCAAAGCUGUUAUACGCUUAUGAAGAAAGGAAACUCUCUUACGAAAGUAGCUUUAAAUAAUAUUUUACCACGAAAGUUAGGAAA
RNAcentral lists this ribosomal RNA (168 nucleotides) under Pterogobius virgo. RNAcentral describes it as "partial 12S rRNA". Lineage: Eukaryota; Metazoa; Chordata; Actinopteri; Gobiiformes; Gobiidae. The record is from RNAcentral.